This 736-nucleotide long non-coding RNA is filed under the name Homo sapiens (human). RNAcentral's name for it is "HSALNT0204102". Lineage: Eukaryota; Metazoa; Chordata; Mammalia; Primates; Hominidae. The record is from RNAcentral.
AUUCUCCUGAGUGGAACCAUCAGACUUUUCUUGAGGGAUUGGCCCUCUAGUGAAGAGCAUGGAGUGGACUGGGCCAGGGAAAGAUCCUCAGAUAAUCCUUACACAGGAUAUCCACAGUAGAUCAACUGAUGCUUCAGUAACAGUGCCCAAAGGAACCAAGUGAAAUUACCAAAUUAGAAGUGAUAAGAGGUUGACUCUCUCCAGAAAUUUAUUGUAAUUAGAAAGAGGUAAUGGUGUCUAAAUAAGAUGAAAGAAGAUAUUUUAAAGAUGAUAAUAACAAAAACGACAUCCUAGGUUUGAGGAAACUGUGAGGACAUCUAAGUGGCAAUUUCCAAAAGGCAGCUGAAUUAAUGUGUCUGGAGAUAAGAAAAAGACUAGAAUGAGGUGAAGCCAGAAAGGAAGAGUCAUAAUCAAAGAAGAGAGUGAUCAAGAAUCCAAAAGAGACAGAGAGAGCAGGCUCUUAGAGAAAUGGGAGAACUACCGCACUGACUCUGCACGUAGGAGACAGGCAGGAGAGGAGCGCCCCAGCCAGAGCUCAACAUGCGCAAACAGGAAGUGUGUCCGAGGUUUUCUGGAGCUCACAGGAGCCGGGGACCCACAGGGAAAGAAAAGCAGACAAGACAAACUAAAUCAGCAACCAUCCCUUUGGAUGCCAGCUGACCUCGGAUGGAGAUUUAGUGCUAGAUGUAAAAGGCUUUGUUUACAGACAAUUAAAAACCACAUAAAUUUAAAUUGU